Molecule: ribosomal RNA, 317 nt
Filed under: uncultured Bacteroidota bacterium
Lineage: Bacteria; Pseudomonadati; Bacteroidota
Description: bacterial SSU rRNA
Rfam family: Bacterial small subunit ribosomal RNA
Source: RNAcentral
GAUGAACGCUAGCGGCAGGCUUAACACAUGCAAGUCGAGGGGUAACAGAGAGUGCUUGCACUUUGCUGACGACCGGCGCACGGGUGCGUAACGCGUAUACAAUCUACCUCUUACUGAGGGAUAGCCCAGAGAAAUUUGGAUUAAUACCUCAUAGUAUGUUAGAGUGGCAUCACUUUAAUAUUAAAGGUUACGGUAAGAGAUGAGUAUGCGUUCUAUUAGCUAGUAGGUAUGGUAACGGCAUACCUAGGCAACGAUAGAUAGGGGCCCUGAGAGGGGGAUCCCCCACACUGGUACUGAGACACGGACCAGACUCCUAC